Molecule: long non-coding RNA, 6532 nt
Filed under: Neodiprion pinetum (white pine sawfly)
Lineage: Eukaryota; Metazoa; Arthropoda; Insecta; Hymenoptera; Diprionidae
Description: uncharacterized LOC124211029
Source: RNAcentral
AUAGUGCUUAGUUGGUAUGUAUCGAUGUACGAGUCAGUAACCUGCCAGCCACAACAGCAAAUAUGACCAAGACGGGCGACUGCGACGAAUACCGAUGCUCUGCUUGCAAAAAAGCAAUUAAAAGCCAGGUAGUACAAUGCAAGAGUGGUCCGAAACUUUUUUACCACCCAGGGUAUGUGAAUGAGCAUAAGAUACUGGAUAGGAAUCAUGAGCUAGUACAGUGCAAGGGUCCAUUCGAUACGUUUAAUGCAGAAGAUGAACGUCCGAAGGCAGUAACGCAGUUAGCAGGUGAUAGCAGAGAUCGUUUAGCAUCGACUGGACCGACGGGAGGAAUAAGAAGUAACAGUCCAUCGGUAGCGGUUGAGACAAAAAUAGACUGGCUGAUAAAAACAGUGAAAGCAAUGAAGGCCGAAAUCGCUUGCAAGAAUGAAGUUAGGAAUAUGAUCCAAGAGAUAAUUGGUGUGGGAGGGGUGCAGCAACAGAUAUAAUCCAGCCGAGUAAGCAUUGACUCCUAUUCUUUUCGAGAACAGUUUCGCCGAUUUUUUCGUAGGUAGAUUUGACCUCAACCAAUGAGCCCUUGAUUUUUCCGCCAUGUCAAUUUAACAGCUGAUUGUUUAAAAAAAUGUUGAGAAAAAAAAUCGAAUUUUUAUUUUUAAUUUUUUUUCCAUCGGUGUGAGGAAAAAAUGUUUGAUAUAAGAGUAGUAGAUCUUAACCUCGUGUAUAAGAAAAAAAUUUUUUGAUUUAAAAAAUAAUUUUUAGUUUAGCCGCAAAAUGUAAAAAACCGGCCAUUUUUUUUUUUUUAAUUUCAAUCCAGUUUCCUUAAUUAUAAAUUUAAACCUUCAAAACUCACAUGUCGCGUGUGAAAUUAGUGCUUCAAACACCAGUUCCAAAAAUUAUUCGAUUAUCUCGUACAUUAUGGCAACAAAUAGCGAUUUUCGAAAAAACUUUGGGUACCAAUAGAAUCCAACAUAAUGGGGUUACAGCGUCAAAAAAAAUUUCUCGUAGUACUUACAGAUAUGGAGAUUACUAAUGCGAUUGAAAAAAGAAAAUUUUUCUUACUUAACAAAUAGGAUUAUUGCUGAAGUUAUUGACUUACGAAAAACAUUUUUUAAUGUUUCUAUUUCUGUUUUUGAGACCAAAAAUUAAAAAAAAAAAAAACCUCUUCAUCAUUAUUAGAACCGGAGUUACACUUGUUUUACUUAUUUCCGAUUUAUUAUCAAUGUUAAUAAUAUUAAGAUUUGAAAAAAAUACUAUAUCUCGUCCAUACCUCAAGGGUCAACCAUGAAUUUCUUCAUUCUGAUUUGAGCUCUAUUUUUAUCAAAAUUAAUUAGUGAAUCGAGGCAAACGCGAGGCGUCGCAUCCCAGCAGCGCGGCAACGUGAAACGGGGGCGCGGAGACGCGGUAGGAGGUAUACUUAAAUGAAUAUCUCCGGUAAAAAUUAUCGUAGAAUUUUUUUUUUUUGAAACUAAUUAUUUUUUUCUCAGCUAUCGGAAUAUUCAAUUAGUUUUUUAUUUUGAUCAAUAUUUUUUUUUUCUUUUAUAUCGCAAUAUCUCCGGAAAAAUUGUAGAAGGAGUAGGAGAAUAGGAGGCAGUCGAUUACAUGCCUUAUUCGCCUGUACUAAUAGAAGAAAUGAAGAGAAUGAUACAGGAAGAUGGUACGAGUAAACUACAGUGAAGCAGUGAAAGAAAAGAAAAAAUAAAAGGUGAUUAUCAUCAAACCCAAAGUGUAACAGGAGAGCGAAGAAACAAAAAGAGUGAUAAAGGAGACUGUGGAUAUAAAGAGUAUGGCGGUGGGAAUAAGUUACUGAAGAAAGGCAGUAAAGGAACGGUGAUCCUGGGCUGUGAAUCAGGAGAACAAAUUGAAACACUGAAGGCUGCAGUACAGGACAAAAUGGGUGAGGAUUUCAAAGUUACUGAGCCAGUGCAACUGGAACCGAAGAUAAAGAUAGUAAAUGUGGAAGAAGAAGAGUUUAAACUAAACGACGAAGAACUAGUUGACACAAUAAAAAUGAGGAAUGGGAUAGAGGAAACCAAAGGAAGAGAGAUGAAAAUUGUAAAAAGAUUAAUGAAGGGAAGGAAACAGGAGCGUAACAGAAGAGGAACCGGCAAGAGAUCAAUAAUACUAGAAGUAGAUGAAGUAACCGAUGAGAAGCUACCGCAGAAAAGUAAACUCACCGUGGGAUGGAAAACAUGUCCGGUUUACAAUCACAUCAGUGUAAAGCGAUGCUUUAAGUGCUGGGGCUAUUAUCAUUUAGCGAAGAAUGGCACCAGGGAAGAAACUUGCUAUAGAUGUGCAGGAAAACACAACGCAAGAGAGUAUACAACGAAUAAGAGUAAAUGUAUAAACUGUACGUUUCAAAAUUAAAAGUACAAUCGAUCGGGAAUAUCCAACAUACAAAAGAGCGAUGCAAGAGAAAAAGACGAGUGUGGGAUGGAUAGAAUAGCAACCACAGAAGGAAGAGACGAUAUGGUACACAAAUGCGCAAAGCCUCUUAGCACGUAACAAGGAGAUAUGACAUCAGGUGGUUGACAAAAUGAAACCUGCAUUAAUAGAGUUAUCAGAGACGUGGGUGACUGCUGAAAUAGGAGACAGUGAAAUAUAUGUCGGGUUAUAGUGUAAUUAUUUGCGAUGCAGGGAAUAACAAUACAGGAGGGGCCAUGGUAUAUGUAAGAGAUGGUAUUAAACAUGAAUUAAUAAUGAGGUCGAUGACAAGUUAUAUAAAGGAGUUAUAAUAGUGGUGUACCAUUCACCGAGUGCGUCAGAUGCAGAAUUUAUAAGAUACAUAGAAGAUGUAACUGAAGAGUUAACAAUAAAGGGAGAUUGUUUAGUGAUAGAAUGUUAUAAUAUAGGCGUGAAGGGAAACUCGUUCUACAAAAAACAAUUAAUAUCAGAAAUCUUAAGCCUAGGGAUGAAACAGUAUGUCAACGAGCCAACGAGAAUAAUGCAGGAUAACUGAACAGUUAUAAAUCUUGUAUUCGCAAAUACAAGCGUGCAACUACAGGUGGUACACAAACCAAAAAUAACAGACCGUGCAGAGUAGUGAGUAAACAGCGAGAAUACAAGACCAGGAACUAAGGUAAAAUUGACAUGCAAGAGUUUACAACAGUGCUGAAAAAUUCCGUGCAGCAAUGGACAAAUGGAUAUAUUAACUGGAAGGCAAAGCUGUUUAUCAAUAGUGUAGUACGUACUCUGGACAUAGUAGUACCAAUAAAGGUAGUUAAGGUUCCAAGCAUAUGAGAGAAUAAAAAAUGGUACUCAGAUAAGAUAAGAAGGGCGGCGAGAAAAAGAGACAAUGCAUACAGAAAAAGCAAUGCAUGAGGGAACGAAAGGAUGACUGGGAACAGUUUAAAGUAGAAAGAAAUGAAAUAGUUAAAUUAAUAAGGAAAAAGAAAAAUGAAUGUUAAGAGAUCAUGAUAGACUGUAAUAAGAAUGAUCCAAAUAAAAUGUGGAAAACUUUGAAAGAACUUAUUAGCAGGGAACCGGCUAACCCGAGACACAUUGAAGAUAUGAAAUUUGGAAUAUUAGAUGAUAUGAAGGAGGGUAAGAUGGCGGACUAAUUUAACAUGUUUUACGUGGAAAGUAUUAACAACAUAGUUAAUUCAAUAGAUAGGGAUGUAUCUGCAAGUCCAGGUAGAAGAAGAAUCUUGGUGGGUGGUGGUGUGGAAAACGAAAGAAAAAUCGAAAAGUUUGAAAAUAUCGGAAUAGGGGAACUCGAGAAAAUAGUCAAUGGACUCCAGAGGAAGAAAGGUACUGAAGAAGGUAUAUCAAGCGAAAUAUUGAAGCUGGAGUUCAGUGCAAUUGGAAAGGAGUUUGUUGGUGGUGGGCUGUUGUUCUAAUAAUUGGAAAAAAUUCACGAUCAUACCGAUCCCAAAGAUAGAAAAGGCCAAAAAUGCAAAGGAUUUCCGGCUAAUUAAUAUAUUACCAUUGUACGAAAAGGUUCUAGAGCUGGUAGUAAAGAGUUAAGUAGAAAAAUAUUUAGAAUCAAAUAACGUUAUAACAGUGGAUCAGUCGGGUUUUAGGGAACGAUUUUCGUGUGAAACAGUGAUUCAAACUGUCAUAGACGAAUGGAAAUUAAACAUUAGCAAAGGGAAAAUAGUAGAAGUAAUCUUCAUGGUUUAAAACGAGCAUUUGAGAGUGUAGAUAGAGAAUUGUUAAUAGAAAAAAUGUGGCAAUAUGGAGUUAGAGGUAAAGUGUUAGAAUGGUAUAGAUCGUACUUAAACAACAGGGCACAACAAAUUUGGUUUAAUGAGGAAUUUUCCGAGAUUAUCAUAACGAAAUACGGUGUUGCACAAGGAUCCGUAUUAGGGUCUCUGCUGUUCAUUACAUAUAUAAACGAUGUAGUUGACAUAUGUCCCGAAGACAAUGAAAUAGAAAUAAAAAUUGUUGCUGAUGAUACACUAAUGUAUGUUACUGGAGACAGUAGUGCGGAGGUGGAAUGAAAGAUGAAUCGGGCAUUAGGCAUAGUUGAAAGAUGGAUGAAUAGGAACAAACUGAAAAUGAAUGCGGAAAAGACGAACUACUGUAUGAUGGUAAGGAAUGUAAGGAAAGAAUUGAGAGGAAAUAUUGUACUGAAAUGCAUCGACGAAACAGAGUUAGAGCGAGUGGAGGUAAUCAAAUACUAGGUGUUAUGAUAGACGAUAAGCUGCGAUUUAAAGACCAUUGUGAGUAUAUGUUGAAAAAUAUAGGGAAAAAAAUUACUUUGCCGGACUUUGGGUUUUGUGUAACACUGCUAGUGGGUAUGAGUGAAACUGUGUUAAAUAAACUGCAGACAGUGCAGAAUAGAGCAAUGCGAGUAAUACUGCGAUGCAAUCGGUAUACGAAGGUGGACGAUAUAUUGCAAGCGGUUCAGUUUUAUAAUGUGUUUAUAGUCACGUUCAAUGCUGUAAACAAAUUGUUACGAAAAGAAUUGGCAAAUAAAUUCCAAGUUGUAAAAUCGAGAGCGGGUCGGGUAAUACGUCAGGCUAAAAAUAUUGUAAUCCAAUUCAGGAAAACGGAAAGUGCUCAAUAGAGUAUGUUUUGCGAAGGAGUGAAAAUGUAUAACGCACUGCCAGAAGAGUUUACAGGCUGUGUAAAAUUAGUUCAAUACAAGAGUAUGUUAAAAGCAUUCAUUAAAUUAAAAGCUUCAACUGAAGCAAAAUUGGUGUGACAUGCGCAUGGAUAGCUAGUUAUUCAAUAUGACCGACCGAACGCAGGAUCAAACACCAGCAUCGAGGAACCAUUCACUUGAGGAAUUAAUUAAAAAUCACUGGAAAUCACUGGGAUUCAAGAUUUAAUUUAAUAUCGACAAUCACUUUGAAAUUAGUAAUAUACCAAACAUCUCCAAACUUUUAGGAACCACUUGAAGAAUAUUGAAAUUCAAACUAAUUUUUAAUAUUGGACAUCAUGAGGGAAUUAAUUCUGAAUCGUUGAUGAAUUUAAAGCGAGUGGCCCCUUUGACCAUCACCGUAAGAUCUGUUCACAGAUUUCUUUGUAUAACUUUAAAGUGCAUCAAAAGUAGUUUUAUAAUACCGCUUUAGAAAGAUUUGACACUUUGCACAUUCAGAAUUUGAAGUCUAGUCUUUCCACAAAAUUAUAGUGAUACCAAUUUAACAGCAAAGUUUCGUGUGUGUUGAUAUCCAUGUAAUUAAAUGUUGGUCACUCUGAAGUAAAACUUCACAAUACUGAAGGUAAUUUUUUAUUAUUGAUGUUGUGUAACUUUCAACGAUCAAGACUUGAGCAAUUUGACAUUUGUUCACCUUUUUUUUUAUUUUUAGUGCCUGAUUCAGAAACGAGAUUUACUUGGAGUUCUAAUCGAUAAAUUUUAAACAAAAACUCAAUUCGGUGUUGAUAUAGGGAUUAUAUGAUAAAUGUCUGAAUAAUUAUGGAAACUUGGGUAGCUUGAUACUCUGCAAAUAAACGUGAUUGAUCGAAGUUUCAAGUAUAUGAUGCGAUACAUGUAGCACUGAGUGCUCAGUGUAUCGAACAUAGUCAGAUGAGUAAAUUUGAACUAGCAAAGUAUAUCUUGCCAAUUGUAACUGACCUUCCGGGAUACAAGACACAUAAAGCUUCGAACAAGAGAAGCCAGUAAUAUGAAUCCCAGCAGAAAUUUAUAAAUUUCAAGAAAACAACUGUUUGGAUACAAUAUAAACAAUAUAACUGGUCAUAGUGCUAAUUUCAUUUUUUGGACACUGAUUUAACUCGUAUAAUAUAAUGAAAAAAAGUGAGGUCACUGUGUUUCAUAGUCAUAGGUUCAGAACUAAGUAAAAAAUAUACAACAAACUAGUCAUAAUUAUUACACUACUCUAAAUAGGAUUGGUGAAUUGCGAAUUGGAUUUUCAUCAAUGUACGAGUUAUUUUAUUUUUUAUUCAUACUUAAUUAUUAUUUGUAGUUGGAUAAGUUUAUCGCCAGUCUGAUACCACUGACAGCAGUCAUCAUGCUUUUAUUGUAAAUCAACAGACAUGUACUUAGCAGUAGUAUAUAAUUUGAAUCUUUUUUUGUACGAGAUGAUUAUAUGCAUACAUUUUUGAUUAAAGAAGAUAUUUUUGUGUGUAA